This 280-nucleotide ribosomal RNA is filed under the name uncultured bacterium. RNAcentral describes it as "partial 16S ribosomal RNA". It matches the Rfam family "Bacterial small subunit ribosomal RNA", at positions 337 to 614 of the family's 1533-position model. The record is from RNAcentral.
UCCUACGGGGGGCAGCAGUGAGGAAUAUUGGUCAAUGGCCGGAAGGCCGAACCAGCCAAGCCGCGUGAAGGACGAAGGUGCCAAGCAUUGUAAACUUCUUUUGUCAAGGGACAAAAUCAGGCUCGAGAGCCUGACCGAGGGUACUUGAAGAAAAAGCAUCGGCUAACUCCGUGCCAGCAGCCGCGGUAAUACGUAGGGGGCAAGCGUUAUCCGGAUUUACUGGGUGUAAAGGGAGCGUAGACGGCAAUACAAGUCGGAAGUGAAAUACCCGGGCUCAACC